Molecule: small nuclear RNA, 62 nt
Filed under: Ophiophagus hannah (king cobra)
Lineage: Eukaryota; Metazoa; Chordata; Lepidosauria; Squamata; Elapidae
Source: RNAcentral
GUGCUCACUUUGGCAGCACAUAUACUAAAAUUGGAAUGAUACAGAGAAGAUUAGCAUGGCCC